GCGUCCGAGAGCAGGCCGAAGGGCUCAGCCGGCGGAAGCCGGUGAUCUGCGCGCCGUUCCGUCCUCCCUUGCGCCUCUGGGCCGCGUGCGUCGAGUUGCCAAGGACACCGCGGCGGUCCAGAUGCAGGCCCUUUGUGUGUUUCCCGAGGGGGCGCACCUGUCUGCCACCUUCCCCCCGGGCCUGCUAGCCGGGCGUUUCCACCAGGGUGGCUUUAACGGCUUACGCAGAAAAUAAAGCUAAUUGUCCAAGACUAUUGAAAGCGGCGCCGUGAGGACGACACACGCUGACCGUAAAUCAACCAAAGCAAGCGUAGGCUGCCGCUGAUUCCGAUCAGAAAUGAGGGUCCUGCUCCCGCACAGAGGCUAUAGACUUUUUUUUCACCCUGUCCCUGCGGCUGCUUAUCACCACACAAAGCGAUGCCACUUACCUUGAGCUAAAUCCCGGACCGAAAACAUCGAUCUUCUCAACAAUCAACUUCCUGAGACUGUUACCAUUCGGCGAGUGAGUGAAUCCCAGAUCAUCCAGGUGACACCAGGAUGAAGAAUCAGGACUGAGCUGAACGCAAUGGACACUAGCAGGUGACCCAAAAAAGUAGCUGCAAGUGGGUGACUCAGGAGCAAAGCUCCUUAAGGACAUGAAAUCGCCAACAUUUCUGGAGUCAGAAGAUCAAAAGGACACAUCAUUAUCCUAGAAAGUGAAGAACUGUAAUGGGGCAUUUACUCCUCAGAAAAGGUUUUGAUGCUUUUAGGAUGAUCUCAACUUCCACUUAGGAAAUUAAGCUGUUUUAGGAAGAGAGUAAUUGUUGGGUGAAAAGGAGUCAGGUUUUCUAGUGGCCCAACCAGAAAGGUCAGCUCCUGAGCAAUGGAUACUUUAAAAUCUUCCCAUUGACAAACAGUGCCCAACUUCCAUCUUCUCUAAUCACUGCACAUGACUGCCGAUGCCACAGUCCUUGCAUAAAGGGAGAAUCUCAAAACAAAUCCAAACUUUUGUCAUUGUACCAAUCUUCUCUGAGAAAUUUAGUUUUAUGUUUUAAAAUAAAUAAAUGAUAAU
Molecule: long non-coding RNA, 1051 nt
Organism: Fukomys damarensis (Damara mole-rat)
Lineage: Eukaryota; Metazoa; Chordata; Mammalia; Rodentia; Bathyergidae
Exons: 4
Source: RefSeq, a predicted model, not a curated record